UGCAGUCGGCUCCUCUCAAAUCAAUCAGCUUGCCAGUGUUUGGUGGCAUCACAGGUGUGAUAACUAUCUACGCUUGUGGUUUUCUACCAAGUAGCCUUCAGUGAUGGAGGUUCGCUGGAGCUCAUAAAUGUCUCUCCUCAGCGAAGACAAUUUCGUGAACGUUUGAUCUCAAAUCAGGUAGGACUACCCGCUGAACUUAA
RNAcentral lists this unclassified non-coding RNA (200 nucleotides) under soil metagenome. Its description in RNAcentral is "partial contains internal transcribed spacer 2 and large subunit ribosomal RNA". The record is from RNAcentral.